UAUUUGAUAAAUGUUGGUAAAACAAAGAUAAAUCUCUAACACAGGCAAUUUAGAGAAAGAAGCCAAUUGAACCCUAACGCUAGUGAGAAUGAAGCACUCAGUCUCGUCAUCGACUCAUCGCUACCAGAGAACCCUAACGCCAGUCACCGGCCAUCACUUUCAUCUCUCGUCUCAACACCAGUCAACUCAAUCGUCACCGUCUCUUCUCUCAACUCAGUCACUAUCGUCGCUACAGGAAACUAUCGUCUCUCUAGUUUGAAGCUACAAGAAGAUGAUAAACAGGGUUGUUGAUGUAAGUUCUCAACCAACUCUUCAAUUUUUUAUUUUCAAUUUCAGUAUUAUUAUGAUAUUUUUGGAAAUUUCUCUAUGUUUUAUCACUUCUGUAUAUGAUGAACAGGGUUGUUUCAUAUACAUAUCGCUGGAUCUAGGGUAUCGUGAUUACUUUAGAUGUCUUCAGUUUUAGUUAAUGAUUUGUUUCGGAAAAUUUUGAUUGAAUUUAUCCAGUAUUUUUUUGUUUCUCCUUAAUGCUGUUUUCUAAUUUUUGUUCAUUUUGAUUUGAUUAGUGGUUUGAGCUCAAUGUAUUCUUUUGGCUGGAAAGAUGGGUGCAGCAUAUAUAUGUUCUUCCAAGUUUUUUUUUUUUGUUUGAAAAGUACGUGCUUCAAGUUACUUUUCUUAUUUUCUUUGGUUUGGUUUAUAUAUUGAUCAGGAGUUGUAGGUGUGUUUUUCAUUAGGCUUCUCAUCAGGAUGUUAGGAGUGAUAUAUUGUGAUUCUUGUACUGGUCUUGUGUUAUCCAAAAUUUCAUUUUUACAGGUUAUGCAGCUGUAUGCUCUGCUGCAACUGUCGUAGUUUAUGGGGCAGAGGUAGAGAAUUUCAAUAGCUUAUUUAUCAUAUGGGGGUAAUGCAGUAAGAGGAGAAACAAUGACUGAAGUUUUAGCUAAUGGAAUUUGAAUUGAACUGAUCAAGUAUUUUCUUUAUGCCAAGUUUACAGGGAAAACAUUCUCCGGCUAUGUUCAUACUUUGAGUCUCUACAUCAAUAUUAGGAGUUUGGUGAUAAUGAAGUACUUGCCGAAGCCUAUUGAUAUGGAUUGCAUUUAGAUGGAAGCAUGUGUGUCCAUGCCUUCAUAAUAAUAGUGAUGACUUUGAAUGUAAAAACUUCAAAAUUAUUAGAAGUUUAGUCUUUUGGAUAUGUUGUUAUAAUUUGGAUUAUGUAUAUUAUGUUUAUGAUUGAGCAAUUUAUGUUUUGUAUCGGACAAGUAAAUAUGUAAUUUCUUACAAGUUGAAUGAAAAUUGAUGAUUAUUACAUGAA
Molecule: RNA transcript, 1306 nt
Organism: Trifolium pratense (red clover)
Lineage: Eukaryota; Viridiplantae; Streptophyta; Magnoliopsida; Fabales; Fabaceae
Exons: 4
Source: RefSeq, a predicted model, not a curated record